This 328-nucleotide ribosomal RNA is filed under the name uncultured soil bacterium. Its description in RNAcentral is "bacterial SSU rRNA". It matches the Rfam family "Bacterial small subunit ribosomal RNA", at positions 26 to 369 of the family's 1533-position model. The record is from RNAcentral.
AGAACGAACGCUGGCGGCAUGCCUAACACAUGCAAGUCGAACGAAUGCCCUUCGGGGUGUUAGUGGCGCACGGGUGCGUAACGCGUGGGAAUCUGCCUUUAGGUUCGGAAUAACAGUGAGAAAUUGCUGCUAAUACCGGAUGAUGACGUUAAGUCCAAAGUAUUUAUCGCCUAGAGAUGACGCCCGCGUUGGAUUAGGUAGUUGGGUAGGGGUAAACGGCCUACCAAGCCGACGAUCCAUAGCUGGUCUGAGAGAUGAUCAGCCACACGUGGGACUGAGACACGGCCCAGACCUCCGUACGGGAGCAGCGAGGUAGGGAAUAGUGGAC